RNAcentral lists this ribosomal RNA (484 nucleotides) under uncultured bacterium. RNAcentral describes it as "partial 16S ribosomal RNA". It matches the Rfam family "Bacterial small subunit ribosomal RNA", at positions 30 to 507 of the family's 1533-position model. The record is from RNAcentral.
AUUGAACGCUGGCGGCAGGCCUAACACAUGCAAGUCGAGCGGAUGAAGGGAGCUUGCUCCUGGAUUCAGCGGCGGACGGGUGAGUAAUGCCUAGGAAUCUGCCUGGUAGUGGGGGAUAACGUCCGGAAACGGGCGCUAAUACCGCAUACGUCCUGAGGGAGAAAGUGGGGGAUCUUCGGACCUCACGCUAUCAGAUGAGCCUAGGUCGGAUUAGCUAGUUGGUGGGGUAAGGGCCUACCAAGGCGACGAUCCGUAACUGGUCUGAGAGGAUGAUCAGUCACACUGGAACUGAGACACGGUCCAGACUCCUACGGGAGGCAGCAGUGGGGAAUAUUGGACAAUGGGCGAAAGCCUGAUCCAGCCAUGCCGCGUGUGUGAAGAAGGUCUUCGGAUUGUAAAGCACUUUAAGUUGGGAGGAAGGGCAGUAAGUUAAUACCUUGCUGUUUUGACGUUACCAGCAGAAUAAGCACCGGCUAACUUCGUG